RNAcentral lists this ribosomal RNA (492 nucleotides) under uncultured bacterium. Its description in RNAcentral is "partial 16S ribosomal RNA". It matches the Rfam family "Bacterial small subunit ribosomal RNA", at positions 29 to 507 of the family's 1533-position model. The record is from RNAcentral.
AGUGAACGCUGGCGGUAGGCCUAACACAUGCAAGUCGAACGGCAGCACAGUAAGAGCUUGCUCUUACGGGUGGCGAGUGGCGGACGGGUGAGGAAUACAUCGGAAUCUACUUUUUCGUGGGGGAUAACGUAGGGAAACUUACGCUAAUACCGCAUACGACCUACGGGCGAAAGCAGGGGAUCUUCGGACCUUGCGCGAUUGAAUGAGCCGAUGUCGGAUUAGCUAGUUGGCGGGGUAAAGGCCCACCAAGGCGGCGAUCCGUAGCUGGUCUGAGAGGAUGAUCAGCCACACUGGAACUGAGACACGGUCCAGACUCCCACGGGAGGCAGCAGUGGGGAAUAUUGGACAAUGGGCGCAAGCCUGAUCCAGCCAUACCGCGUGGGUGAAGAAGGCCUUCGGGUUGUAAAGCCCUUUUGUUGGGAAAGAAAAGCAGCAGGUUAAUACCCCGCUGUUCUGACGGUACCCAAAGAAUAAGCACCGGCUAACUUCGUG